Molecule: ribosomal RNA, 505 nt
Filed under: uncultured bacterium
Lineage: Bacteria
Description: bacterial SSU rRNA
Rfam family: Bacterial small subunit ribosomal RNA
Source: RNAcentral
CUGGCUCAGGAUGAACGCUAGCGACAGGCCUAACACAUGCAAGUCGAGGGGCAGCGGGGAGGUAGCAAUACUCUGCCGGCGACCGGCGCACGGGUGCGUAACAGGUGUGCAAUCUGUCCAUAGUCGGGGGAUAGCCCGGCGAAAGCCGAGUUAAUACUCCAUGUGUCAUUUAGCCGCAUGACUGAAUGAUGAAACGUAAGGACUAUGGGUGAGCACGCUUCUGAUUAGGUAGUUGGUGAGGUAACGGCCCACCAAGCCGACGAUCAGUAGGGGUUCUGAGAGGAAGGUCCCCCACAUUGGAACUGAGACACUGUCCAAACUCCUACGGGAGGCAGCAGUGAAGAAUAUUGGUCAAUGGACGAGAGUCUGAACCAGCCAAGUCGCGUGAAAGGAUGAAGGUUCUAUGGAUUGUAAACUUCUUUUGUCUGAGGGUAAAGUCAGGGACGUGUCCCUGUUGGCAAGUAUCAGACGAAUAAGCAUCGGCUAACUCCGUGCCAGCCGCGGC